This 65-nucleotide small nucleolar RNA is filed under the name Castor canadensis (American beaver). Its description in RNAcentral is "Small nucleolar RNA SNORD58 (ENSCCNG00000017987.1)". It matches the Rfam family "Small nucleolar RNA SNORD58". Rfam says of the family: snoRNA U58 is found in introns 1, 3 and 6 of the ribosomal protein RPL17 gene in humans. U58 is a member of the C/D class of snoRNA which contain C (UGAUGA) and D (CUGA) box motifs. Most of the members of the box C/D family function in directing site-specific 2'-O-methylation of substrate RNAs. Lineage: Eukaryota; Metazoa; Chordata; Mammalia; Rodentia; Castoridae. The record is from Rfam by way of RNAcentral.
CUGCGGUGAUACGUUUCUUAGGACACCUUUGGAUUCACCCUGAAAAGUAAUAAAUUCUGAGCGGC